UACGAAGGGUGCAACCGUUGCUCGGAAUUAUUGGGCGUAAAGCGCACGUAGGCGGCUUGGCAAGUCGGAUGUGAAAUCCCUCGGCUCAACCAAGGAAGUGCAUCCGAAACUGCCGAGCUUGAGUACUUAAGAGGAUCGCGGAAUUCCCGGUGUAGAGGUGAAAUUCGUAGAUAUCGGGAGGAACACCAGUGGCGAAGGCGGGCUUCUGGCUAAUUACUGACGCUGAGGUGCGAAAGCUAGGGGAGCGAACGGG
Molecule: ribosomal RNA, 253 nt
Filed under: uncultured bacterium
Lineage: Bacteria
Description: partial 16S ribosomal RNA
Rfam family: Bacterial small subunit ribosomal RNA
Source: RNAcentral